This 253-nucleotide ribosomal RNA is filed under the name uncultured bacterium. Its description in RNAcentral is "partial 16S ribosomal RNA". It matches the Rfam family "Bacterial small subunit ribosomal RNA", at positions 524 to 776 of the family's 1533-position model. The record is from RNAcentral.
UACGUAGGGCGCAAGCGUUGUCCGGAAUUAUUGGGCGUAAAGAGCUCGUAGGCGGCUUGUCACGUCGGGUGUGAAAGCCCGGGGCUUAACCCCGGGUCUGCAUUCGAUACGGGCUAGCUAGAGUGUGGUAGGGGAGAUCGGAAUUCCUGGUGUAGCGGUGAAAUGCGCAGAUAUCAGGAGGAACACCGGUGGCGAAGGCGGAUCUCUGGGCAUUAACUGACGCUGAGGAGCGAAAGCAUGGGGAGCGAACAGG